Molecule: unclassified non-coding RNA, 274 nt
Filed under: uncultured fungus
Lineage: Eukaryota; Fungi
Description: partial contains small subunit ribosomal RNA, internal transcribed spacer 1, and 5.8S ribosomal RNA
Rfam family: Eukaryotic small subunit ribosomal RNA (bases 1-73)
Source: RNAcentral
CCAAACUUGGUCAUUUAGAGGAAGUAAAAGUCGUAACAAGGUCUCCGUUGGUGAACCAGCGGAGGGAUCAUUACUGAGUCUUCGACUCUCCAACCCACUGUGCUCAAAUAAUUUACUGCUGAGGCGGGCCGCUCGCUCGGGGAGCUCAGGCCUGUUACAGGUGGCCUGCCGAAGCAACUUUAAAUCUUUUUUAUCAAGUCACAUAAACUUUCUUGAAUCAAUCACAACCCAUAACAAUGGAUCUCUUGGCUCUGGCAUCGAUGAAGAACGCAGC